This 328-nucleotide ribosomal RNA is filed under the name uncultured eukaryote. RNAcentral describes it as "partial 18S ribosomal RNA". It matches the Rfam family "Eukaryotic small subunit ribosomal RNA", at positions 1470 to 1796 of the family's 1831-position model. The record is from RNAcentral.
CCCUUAGAUGUCCGGGGCUGCACGCGCGCUACACUGAAGGAAUCAGCGUGCUGAAACCAUUGUCGAAAGGCAUUGGUAAACCCAUUAAAAUCCUACGUGAUUGGGAUCGGGAAUUGCAAUUAUUUCCCUUGAACGAGGAAUUCCCAGUAAGUGUGGGUCAUAAGCUCGCGUUGAUUACGUCCCUGCCCUUUGUACACACCGCCCGUCGCUGCCCGGGACUGAGCCGUUUCGAGAAAAGCGGGGACUGCUGCUGUCGGGGCUUUCGGGCCUUGGCUUCGGUGGAAACCGCUUUAAUCGCAGUGGCUUGAACCGGGCAAAAGUCGUAACA